GUCGAGGGGCAGCAUCAUCAAAGCUUGCUUUGAUGGAUGGCGACCGGCGCACGGGUGAGUAACACGUAUCCAACCUGCCGACAACACUGGGAUAGCCUUUCGAAAGAAAGAUUAAUACCGGAUGGCAUAAUUAUUCCGCAUGGGAUAAUUAUUAAAGAAUUUCGGUUGUCGAUGGGGAUGCGUUCCAUUAGGCAGUUGGCGGGGUAACGGCCCACCAAACCUACGAUGGAUAGGGGUUCUGAGAGGAAGGUCCCCCACAUUGGAACUGAGACACGGUCCAAACUCCUACGGGAGGCAGCGGUGAGGAAUAUUGGUCAAUGGACGAGAGUCUGAACCAGCCAAGUAGCGUGAAGGAUGACUGCCCUAUGGGUUGUAAACUUCUUUUAUACGGGAAUAAAGUUAGCCACGUGUGGCUUUUUGUAUGUACCGUAUGAAUAAGGAUCGGCUAACUCCGUGCCAGCAGCCGCGGUAAUACGGAGGAUCCGAGCGUUAUCCGGAUUUAUUGGGUUUAAAGGGAGCGUAGGCGGGUUGUUAAGUCAGUUGUGAAAGUUUGCGGCUCAACCGUAAAAUUGCAGUUGAUACUGGCGACCUUGAGUGCAACAGAGGUAGGCGGAAUUCGUGGUGUAGCGGUGAAAUGCUUAGAUAUCACGAAGAACUCCGAUUGCGAAGGCAGCUUACUGGAUUGUAACUGACGCUGAUGCUCGAAAGUGUGGGUAUCAAACAGGAUUAGAUACCCUGGUAGUCCACACAGUAAACGAUGAAUACUCGCUGUUGGCGAUAUACGGUCAGCGGCCAAGCGAAAGCAUUAAGUAUUCCACCUGGGGAGUACGCCGGCAACGGUGAAACUCAAAGGAAUUGACGG
RNAcentral lists this ribosomal RNA (862 nucleotides) under uncultured bacterium. RNAcentral describes it as "bacterial SSU rRNA". It matches the Rfam family "Bacterial small subunit ribosomal RNA", at positions 61 to 916 of the family's 1533-position model. The record is from RNAcentral.